GAAAAAGCGUUGACGGGAAAUAGUAAGAAGCCCCUCUUUCUCAGAGAGCCGAUGGUUGGUGAGAAUCGGUGAAAGAUGCAUUCUGAAUCCAUCCUUGAGCGAAAUGCUGAAACACGAAGUAAGCAUUUACGGUGAUGCCGUUACAGAGGAAAGAGGAAAGCAUGCUUUUGGCGUGUUUUCAAUCAGGGUGGCAACGCGAGAGCUCUCGUCCCUUUC
Molecule: non-coding RNA, 216 nt
Filed under: Bacillus altitudinis
Lineage: Bacteria; Bacillati; Bacillota; Bacilli; Caryophanales; Bacillaceae
Also listed under: 1 other name
Description: T-box
Rfam family: T-box leader
About the family: Uncharged tRNA acts as the effector for transcription antitermination of genes in the T-box leader family.
Source: RNAcentral